Triplophysa dalaica is the source of this 1337-nucleotide long non-coding RNA. RefSeq lists it as uncharacterized. The record is from RefSeq and is a predicted model, not a curated record. The transcript has 5 exons. Lineage: Eukaryota; Metazoa; Chordata; Actinopteri; Cypriniformes; Nemacheilidae.
CAGACCAAUGUAGUACAUUCACGAACGUGUCCAAAGUUAACAGAAACAACGAUGCUUUUAAGUUUAUACUAAGUAUACUUUCAAGAAUUGCGCGUUUAGUCAAUCGAGAUGAAUUCUUAUAGCAACCGUUGUAAACACGACAGUCAACUUCUUAGAUCAGAAGGCUUUAUGUUUCUAGGCGGACCGUUAAAGAACGCGACACGCGUGUCUCCCGGAAAUCCUGUGAAAUUCAACCAAUCAGAUUACGACUUCGAACGUGCUGAAGUGUUUCCAGAGAAGUGUGCCAUGUGCAUCAGACAUUCAGCCAAUGGAUCGUGGGCGUGACGUUUGAGGCUGAGACUAUCCUGGAAUUGACAUGCAAAUUAGCAAUCUCAUAGUGGGAUAAACCCUGGUGGUUGUUACAGAUUUAGAUUUCAGUAUUUUUAUCUCCCCUUGCAGAUUUUUUUGCUCAUGUCUGACACGGCCGGAAGAGAACUCUCCAGAGCUGCAAGAGUUGUUGGAGUUGAACCUGGAAUUUCAGAGGAGGCUGGAGGAACUUCUACAUUCAGAUCGUUUCGUGAAAGAGGACUUUGCAGUGGUUCUUCAGCCCUACCUGCGCUACGCCAAGCCACCUAGACUUCCUGAUGGCAAAAUCGACACGAGUUUCUUCACAGCCGAUUGUUUUCACUUCACUGUUAAAGGUCAUGAGGAGCUGGCUAAAGGACUUUGGAAUAACAUGUUUGAACCUGAGGAAAAGAAGACAAUGAUUGACAGUUUCUCAAAUCCAGUUGAACUCAUCUGCCCAUCCCAAGAUCACCCUUACAUAUACACAAGACCGCAAAAAGAACGCCAAGUAAAGUAAUCCGCAAGCUGUCAUCAAGUUCUCUGCACAUUUUGGUUCCUAAGCACCUUUCUUAUUAUGUUAAUAAAUGAGUAAAUCUAAAAAUACCUAUCUAUAUGCUUAAUAAAUGGCUAUUCUUUCCACAUUAAUGUAAAACUAGAUUUAUGUUUUGAUAAGAUAACAUUUCUGAUAUUUUAACUUAUGUGGAAAACUUUCUUAAUAGUUUUAUAGAUAUUUACAAUGAAUUAUGGUAAAAAGAUGUAUGCUGGCUGCUAUACAGAAAAUGAGAUGGCAUUUAAAAAAAAUUAUACAUUUUGAUGAUAAUAAAUUGUUUAAAAAAUAUGAACAUUAAAGCAUAUGACGUGAUAUAUUUUAAGUUCAAGCUAAAUAAAAAUGAGCUUCUUUUCGCAUGUAAAGGGCACAUUUUACACGUGGAAGUGCUCUCUCUAGUGGCCUUUUACUGUUUUGAAAGUUUUUUAUUUUCUGGCAAAACACAUUAAAUGACAUUUAUUCUCUU